CCCGUUGUGGUGCUCCCCCGCCAAUUCCUUUAAGUUUCAGCCUUGCGGCCGUACUUCCCAGGUGGCUCGCUUCACGGCUUCCCUACGGCACCGACAACGGUCGCACCGUGGCCGACACCUAGCGAGUAUCGUUUACGGCUAGGACUACCCGGGUAUCUAAUCCGGUUCGUGCCCCUAGCUUUCGUCCCUUGCCGUCAGGUCCGUUCUGGUGAGACGCCUUCGCCACUGGUGGUCCUUCAAGGAUUACAAGAUUUCACCCCUACCCCUGAAGUACCUCUCACCUCUCCCGGCCUCGGGCCGAACAGUAUCUCCUGAAAGCCCAACAGUUGAGCUGCUGGAUUUCUCAAGAGACUUAUCCGGCCGGCUACAGACCCUUUAGACCCAAUAAUAACGGUUACCACUCGAGCCGCCGGUGUUACCGCGGCGGCUGGCACCGGUCUUGCCCGGCCCUUGCUAUGCAAUGCUUUUUAGUGCAUCACGACAGCCAGAUUUGUAACCUGGCACUCGAGGUCCCCUUAUCGCCGUUGCCGGCAUUGUAAAGUUUUCGCGCCUGCUGCACCCCGUAGGGCCUGGAUUCGUGUCUCAGAAUCCAUCUCCGGGCUCUUGCUCUCACAACCCGUACCCGUCGUAGGCUAGUAGGUACGCUACACCCACUACUACCUGAUAGGCCGCAGACCCAUCCUCUGGCGCCGGAGCUUUCGAUCUCGGGGCAUUCCAGCGACCGAGAUCUAUCGGGGAUUAUACCCAGUUUCCCGGGUUUAUACCCGUCCGGAGGGUAGGUUGUCCACGUGUUACUGAGCAGUACGCCAUGUAUUGCUACAUUCGACUCGCAUGGCUUAGUCGAACCUCGAUAG
Molecule: ribosomal RNA, 854 nt
Filed under: uncultured archaeon
Lineage: Archaea
Description: partial 16S ribosomal RNA
Source: RNAcentral